This 58-nucleotide transfer RNA is filed under the name Parachtes romandiolae. Its description in RNAcentral is "tRNA-His". Lineage: Eukaryota; Metazoa; Arthropoda; Arachnida; Araneae; Dysderidae. The record is from RNAcentral.
UACUAUAAAGUUUAAUACUAAAACAAUAAUUUGUGGAAUUAUAAAUCUCUUAAAUCAA